UGUAAUCUUCUCUCCAGAUUUUGUUUUCUUAAGCAACAACUAUCUUCUUCCUAGCUUGGAGUUAAUUUGUAAGGCAAAAAUGGCUGCUUCUAAGGCCACCAAGUUCAUGGUCGUGGCUGUUCUUGUUGCGAUGUUGCUGCUCAUGGCCACUGAGCUGGCCACUGCACUAGUGCUUGAUGGAGCAGCGUCAGAACUCAAGCUUGGACGAAGGGCUCUUCAGGCUGAGUACAACACCGAUGGCCGGGGAGGAUACAAUAGCUACAACACCACCGGCCGGGGAGGAUAUAAUUAGAUGACUGGCUAUUGUACGUUUAGUACUACAUAAAAUAAGUUGAUGCUUUGUUGUGCUAUAUUAUGCGUGAUGCCUGAGCCAUACUACGUACGUACACUUAAUUAGGCUCAGAAUAAAUUGUUGCCCGGAAUACCAUAUAUAUAUAUAUGGUAUUUUGAGAUGGCGAUAUUUAUAGUAAAAAAAUGUGUGUUAUGUUUUGUGGAGGUUUCGUUGUAAUAAAGCAGUCUUCUGCGAUCGACUAUAUAUAGUUUUGAAGUGAAUCUCCAUCA
Molecule: long non-coding RNA, 561 nt
Organism: Alnus glutinosa
Lineage: Eukaryota; Viridiplantae; Streptophyta; Magnoliopsida; Fagales; Betulaceae
Exons: 2
Source: RefSeq, a predicted model, not a curated record